UACGUAGGUGGCAAGCGUUAUCCGGAAUUAUUGGGCGUAAAGCGCGCGCAGGUGGUUUCUUAAGUCUGAUGUGAAAGCCCACGGCUCAGCCGUGGAGGGUCAUUGGAAACUGGGAGACUUGAGUGCAGAAGAGGAAAGUGGAAUUCCAUGUGUAGCGGUGAAAUGCGUAGAGGUAUGGAGGAACACCAGUGGCGAAGGCGACUUUCUGGUCUGUAACUGACACUGAGGCGCGAAAGCGUGGGGAGCAAACAGG
This 253-nucleotide ribosomal RNA is filed under the name uncultured bacterium. Its description in RNAcentral is "partial 16S ribosomal RNA". It matches the Rfam family "Bacterial small subunit ribosomal RNA", at positions 524 to 776 of the family's 1533-position model. The record is from RNAcentral.